UGUAUCGUCCCCACCACCCACCCAAUCUGUGGCACAUAGUUCCCCCAGUCGAAACGAAUCAUUGAUCCCAGAAAGUAACGUGUUUGUACUGCUGCGCCCUGUUUUGGCGCCACCGCUACCAGGUGACGCGGCAGGAUUUCCCCCCGACGGUUAGCGGCAACCAGGCCGAGCGUGCUACAAAAGCUUUAAGGCUGGCUGCUCGCCGUACUCUGAGGCAUUUGCUGCCAUCCAGAAGCCUGAAGCACGAGUGUGAAGCGCGAAGCCCACUGCUGCAUACUCCCUGCACUCACUUCACAAUGAAGACAGCCUUGCUAGUUUUCUGCCUUGGGGUCUUUGCCUUCGCUACUUUGGCGGACAUGACAGCAGCCUACAAAGUGACCCAUUUCGAUAUAGGUCUUGGAUGUCCAAAGUCCUUGCUGACUUGUUCACAAGCAUGCCGAAGCACUUAUGGUCAUCAAGGUGGAUAUUGCAAUGGGCCGUUCAACAUCGUCUGCACCUGUACCUGACCGGGCUUCAAAAGAUUUUGUUACGUUGCCUCACCAUUCGUGUUCACAUUUUCCUGCUAGCAGCCCAAGAUGCCCGAGUGAAAAUUUUCGCUCAUCAUGCUAACAGAUUGUGCCUGAUGUAAUGAAGCGUGUACCUCGACGCAGUGUACCAUUACAAAUACGCACUUCCUUCUCUGUUACAUCGUUGGUAUUUUUCUAUAAGUUAUAUUAUCUCCCCAUUCACUUUCUUCUGAAUAAAAGUUUAUUGUUGCAAGUUAGUUUUAUCGUCUGAAAGAUUUUUGAGUCGAGCUCUUGUUAUGCUUGUGUGAUAUACGAGCACAUUCGUGAAAAUUGUUUCGUUUAUCGGACUGCAUAGAUACAUUUUUACUAGCUAUGUUUUUAUUAUCUAAUGCGACGUACUCUUUUGUAGCUUCGUUGUAUACAUUUAUUUUCUUUGGAGAGCUUUGUUUUCAUACCCAGAUAUUUGGGAUAUAUGCUAUAUAAAAUAUAGCUUGCUCAUUGUCUCAGUAAGAAAUAGCAACCAGUGAAAACGCCUGUAAUUCGUUGAAUAAACCGAGUAUGUUUCAUUGAACAACGCGAAUGAAACAAUCAGCAGUACUUGAAUUAUUCGUGAGUGCACUGUGUAACUUUACCUCGCACUUGAAUAUUCAAAUGAGUGAGCUAGAUUUUACGUAUAUAUUUACAAAUGCCGUAGAGACAAUCUCAACGUUACUUUUAAACACUACGUGAAAUCAUAGAGAUGGAAUAUUCGUUAUAAAAGCACUAG
Long non-coding RNA from Dermacentor silvarum, 1272 nucleotides. RefSeq lists it as uncharacterized. The record is from RefSeq and is a predicted model, not a curated record. The transcript has 3 exons. Lineage: Eukaryota; Metazoa; Arthropoda; Arachnida; Ixodida; Ixodidae.